Non-coding RNA from Crinalium epipsammum PCC 9333, 268 nucleotides. It matches the Rfam family "HNH endonuclease-associated RNA and ORF (HEARO) RNA". The record is from Rfam. NCBI's taxonomy places the organism in Bacteria, Bacillati, Cyanobacteriota, Cyanophyceae, Gomontiellales, Gomontiellaceae.
GUCAGCACCCCGCACUAAAGUGACGGGGCUAUGCGGGGAGCGCAGGCUAUUCGCUUCGCGAAGGCUUCGCCAACGCCAAUAUGCCUCCGACUUUAGGUAGCUGACCAGUCUAAGCGCAAGCUACGUUCGGAUUAAGAGUUAAAGUUCAUACCUUGGGUUACGAUGCUAGACCCAAGCUCUAUAACCAAAAAGUUAAACAUUCUUACGAGGGGUAAGAAAGUGCUUUUUGGAAAGUACCGAAUCCGAACAUUGACGAAGCGAACGUUAC